AUUGAACCCGAGUCCUCAUAGAUCCUAGUCGGGUUCGGUACUGCUGAGCCACAAUGGGAACUCCCAUUUAAGUUAAUUUAAAUGAAAUGAAAUAUUCCUUUCCCCAGCCAUAUCACCUGCAUUUCUACUGUUCCACGGCCAUGUGGCCAGGGGCCGCCACCCUGGACGGUGAUAAAGAUGGUGCAUGAAACGCUAUCAUCAGGGGAGGCCGUUUUGGACAGCGCUAAUCUACAGGGUGGUCCCAGCAUCUGAGAGGCCGAGGGGGGCCGGGGCCAAGAAAAUGGGGAAAAGGCUAUGUCACGUCUGACUUCCACGUCCUCGCUGACACCAUGGUGCUCAAACCCGGUGUCCAUCUCUGCUUGCCCUUUGCUGGGCGCGGGCUACCAGAAUUCCUGCUGAGCCUGGGCUCCUGAUCCGGGAAAAUGAGUGGUCUGGAACCGAACCGGCAGUGUUUCUGAGUUAUGCCCUGCAACAUUAGGCUGAGUCUAAGGAUAUCAAGUCAACAAAACAGUCAGAUCAAUGUGCCAGUUGAAAUUCUGGAGAUUUCCUUCUUAGACCUGGCCUUGUCACCAAGCACACAUUCUUGGGGAUUCUACGGGAAUGGCAGCAACGGGAUGCUGGAGGCCGGGGCUCUUAGUACUGCACAGGAGAAAAUGGGUGUGUGAUCUCAGCUCCCAGAAGACCAGAGAUUGAACCCAGGCCACAGAGGUGAAAAUGCUGAAUCCUAACCACUAAACUACCAGGGGAUCCCCAAAUUCAAUGAACUGACCCAUUUGAUCAAUGCAACGACCAAUUAUAUUUUGUGGUGAGUGAUUUUCUUAUCUUUGGCCCUGGCUAUUUCUAUCAUUGCUUAGUAUUUGAGUAUUUUUUAAUUACUUUGGAUUGAGAAUUAUUCCCAAGUGCUAAAAUCACUAGAUAUCCACUAACAAUUUUCAUGUAAGGUAUGACUAUCAUGGUUUUCCUUAAGUAAGUAAGUAUAUUUAAUAGUUCUCCAAAACCAAAGAAUGAUUUAUUUCUGACUGAAAAUAAGUAACAUAAAAUGAGCUUACUACCGAUAAAACUAUGUUUAAAUCACUAGGCCAUUCCUUUCUGUCACUGGUCAAUGGGAGAAAAAGAUGCGAGGCAGAGACAAGUUAGUCAUAGGAACCCAUUGUGGAUUUAAAAAAAAAAUGCCUUUUGUUGUUGUUGUGUUUUUUUAAGGGCUGUGGACUUGGCAUAUGGAAGUUCCCAGGCUAGGGGUUGAACUGGAGCUGCAGCUUCCAGCCUAUGCCACAGCCACAGCAAUGCCAGAUCUGAGCUGAAUCUAUGACCUAUACCACAGCUCAUGGCAAUUCUGGAUCCUUAACCCACUGAACGAGGCCAGGGAUCGAACCCAUGUCCUCAUGGGACCUCCUAAAUGCAUUUUAAAAAAAACUUCUUGGUGUUCCCGUCGUGGCUCGGUGGUUAACAAAUCUGACUGGGAACCAUGAGGUGGUGGGUUCGAUCCCUGGCCUCGCUCAGUGGGUUGAGGAUCCGGCAUUGCCAUGAGCUGCUACAGCUCCGAUUCGGCCCCUAGCCUGGUAUCCUCCAUAUGCCUCGGGUACAGCCCUAGAAAAGACAAAAAGAUGAAAUAAAUAAAAUUUUAAAAUAAAUGAAAAAAACUUC
RNAcentral lists this long non-coding RNA (1644 nucleotides) under Sus scrofa (pig). Its description in RNAcentral is "lncRNA (ENSSSCG00040013896.1)". The record is from RNAcentral. Lineage: Eukaryota; Metazoa; Chordata; Mammalia; Artiodactyla; Suidae.